GACGAACGCUGGCGGCGUGCUUAACACAUGCAAGUCGAACGCUGAAGCUCAGCUUGCUGGGUGGAUGAGUGGCGAACGGGUGAGUAACACGUGAGUAACCUGCCCUCUUCUUUGGGAUAACGCCCGGAAACGGGUGCUAAUACUGGAUAUUCACUGAUUCUCGCAUGGGGGUUGGUGGAAAGGUUUUUUCUGGUGGGGGAUGGGCUCGCGGCCUAUCAGCUCGUUGGUGGGGUGAUGGCCUACCAAGGCUUUGACGGGUAGCCGGCCUGAGAGGGUGACCGGUCACAUUGGGACUGAGAUACGGCCCAGACUCCUACGGGAGGCAGCAGUGGGGAAUAUUGCACAAUGGGCGAAAGCCUGAUGCAGCGACGCCGCGUGAGGGAUGGAGGCCUUCGGGUUGUAAACCUCUUUCGCUCAUGGUCAAGCCGCAGCUUUGGGUUGUGGUGAGGGUAGUGGGUAAAGAAGCGCCGGCUAACUACGUG
Molecule: ribosomal RNA, 482 nt
Filed under: uncultured bacterium
Lineage: Bacteria
Description: partial 16S ribosomal RNA
Rfam family: Bacterial small subunit ribosomal RNA
Source: RNAcentral